Molecule: ribosomal RNA, 463 nt
Filed under: uncultured bacterium
Lineage: Bacteria
Description: partial 16S ribosomal RNA
Rfam family: Bacterial small subunit ribosomal RNA
Source: RNAcentral
GACGAACGCUGGCGGCAUGCUUAACACAUGCAAGUCGAACGGUGAAGCUCCAGCUUGCUGGAGUGGAUCAGUGGCGAACGGGUGAGUAACACGUGAGCAACCUGCCCCUGACUCUGGGAUAAGCUCUGGAAACGGCGUCUAAUACUGGAUACGAGAAGCGUCCGCAUGGGCACUUUCUGGAAAGUUUUUCGGUUGGGGAUGGGCUCGCGGCCUAUCAGCUUGUUGGUGAGGUAAUGGCUCACCAAGGCGACGACGGGUAGCCGGCCUGAGAGGGCGACCGGCCACGCUUGGAAUGAGACACGGACCAGACUGCGACGGGAGGCAGCAGUGGGGAAUAUUGCACGAUGGGCGAAAGCCUGAUGCCGCGGCGCCGCGUGAGGGAUGACGGCCUUCGGGUUGUAAACCUCUUUCAGCUGGGAAGAUAAUGACGGUACCAGCAGAAGAAGCCCCGGCUAACUCCGUG